GACGAACGCUGGCGGCGUGCCUAAUACAUGCAAGUCGAGCGGACCGACGGGAGCUUGCUCCCUUAGGUCAGCGGCGGACGGGUGAGUAACACGUGGGUAACCUGCCUGUAAGACUGGGAUAACUCCGGGAAACCGGGGCUAAUACCGGAUGCUUGAUUGAACCGCAUGGUUCCAAUCAUAAAAGGUGGCUUUUAGCUACCACUUACAGAUGGACCCGCGGCGCAUUAGCUAGUUGGUGAGGUAACGGCUCACCAAGGCGACGAUGCGUAGCCGACCUGAGAGGGUGAUCGGCCACACUGGGACUGAGACACGGCCCAGACUCCUACGGGAGGCAGCAGUAGGGAAUCUUCCGCAAUGGACGAAAGUCUGACGGAGCAACGCCGCGUGAGUGAUGAAGGUUUUCGGAUCGUAAAACUCUGUUGUUAGGGAAGAACAAGUACCGUUCGAAUAGGGCGGUACCUUGACGGUACCUAACCAGAAAGCCACGGCUAACUACGUGCCAGCAGCCGCGGUAAUACGUAGGUGGCAAGCGUUGUCCGGAAUUAUUGGGCGUAAAGCGCGCGCAGGCGGUUUCUUAAGUCUGAUGUGAAAGCCCCCGGCUCAACCGGGGAGGGUCAUUGGAAACUGGGGAACUUGAGUGCAGAAGAGGAGAGUGGAAUUCCACGUGUAGCGGUGAAAUGCGUAGAGAUGUGGAGGAACACCAGUGGCGAAGGCGACUCUCUGGUCUGUAACUGACGCUGAGGCGCGAAAGCGUGGGGAGCGAACAGGAUUAGAUACCCUGGUAGUCCACGCCGUAAACGAUGAGUGCUAAGUGUUAGAGGGUUUCCGUCCUUUAGUGCUGCAGCAAACGCAUUAAGCACUCCGCCUGGGGAGUACGGUCGCAAGACUGAAACUCAAAGGAAUUGACGGGGGCCCGCACAAGCGGUGGAGCAUGGGGUUUAAUUCGAAGCAACGCGAAGAACCUUACCAGGUCUUGACAUCCUCUGACAACCCUAGAGAUAGGGCUUCCCCUUCGGGGGCAGAGUGACAGGUGGUGCAUGGUUGUCGUCAGCUCGUGUCGUGAGAUGUUGGGUUAAGUCCCGCAACGAGCGCAACCCUUGAUCUUAGUUGCCAGCAUUCAGUUGGGCACUCUAAGGUGACUGCCGGUGACAAACCGGAGGAAGGUGGGGAUGACGUCAAAUCAUCAUGCCCCUUAUGACCUGGGCUACACACGUGCUACAAUGGGCAGAACAAAGGGCAGCGAAGCCGCGAGGCUAAGCCAAUCCCACAAAUCUGUUCUCAGUUCGGAUCGCAGUCUGCAACUCGACUGCGUGAAGCUGGAAUCGCUAGUAAUCGCGGAUCAGCAUGCCGCGGUGAAUACGUUCCCGGGCCUUGUACACACCGCCCGUCACACCACGAGAGUUUGUAACACCCGAAGUCGGUGAGGUAACCUUUUGGAGCCAGCCGCCGAAGGUGGGACAGAUGAUUGGGGUGAAG
Molecule: ribosomal RNA, 1476 nt
Filed under: Bacillus licheniformis
Lineage: Bacteria; Bacillati; Bacillota; Bacilli; Caryophanales; Bacillaceae
Description: bacterial SSU rRNA
Rfam family: Bacterial small subunit ribosomal RNA
Source: RNAcentral